Long non-coding RNA from Alligator sinensis (Chinese alligator), 1452 nucleotides. RefSeq lists it as uncharacterized. The record is from RefSeq and is a predicted model, not a curated record. The transcript is spliced from 3 exons. NCBI's taxonomy places the organism in Eukaryota, Metazoa, Chordata, Crocodylia, Alligatoridae.
GGUCCCCCAGGACUAGUGCGUGCUUUCCCUGGGGCCUCAGACCACUCCUUAGGGUCGUACGGGGACAGGUGUUGCUGCUUGUCCCUUGCAGGACUAAUGCUAGAGCAGGGAUGUAUUAGGAGCUCUGCAGGAUGUGACUGUGGCAACCCUGAUCAAACUAUGGACCACAUAACAACACUCUGCCCUCGAUACAGAUUUGACAGUGACAUUGCAGAGAUGCAUUCCCUUUCCUCAAGAGCAUUAGACUGAUUAACUCAUUCUAAACUGCAUCAAGUCAGCCAUGCAAAAGAAGAAGAAGGGGUAAUCUUUUGUUCCCUGCUACGGACCAGUCAAGGGAGUUUUGCACUGAGGGCUCAGCAGCUCCGCCUCCUGGCACUGUUCCUCUACUGAUGCACACCGUCAUCGUUCCAGUGAGCUCAAUGGAGCUGUUAUGAGUCAUAGAAGUGGAUCUGCCCCUGGGCUGCACUCGAGCCUUUCCAUUGACUUGGGGCAUGAGUUAACCUCACCUUUGCUCAGCUCCCUCCCUCCUAAGGUUUCAUAGAUUCACAGAUGUUGGGGACUGGAAGGGACCUUACAAGAUCAUCGGGUCCAGCUCCCCUGCAGUUGGCCAGCAAAGAGUGCUGGGAUCAGAUGACCCCAGCAAGAGUUUGCGGGAACCGGCCCCCUUCUCGGAUGAGAUCGAAAUCGAUUACAGCAAGCCAUACGCCAGAGUGACGUUCGAGGAGGCGCUGAGAGGAACCCCGUUGGAUCGGCCGGUCAGGGUCUACGCUGAUGGGAUAUUCGACUUGUUUCACUCCGGACAUGCCCGGGCUUUGAUGCAAGCUAAGAACCUCUUCCCCAACACAUACCUCAUUGUGGGAGGUAAGGCGAGAUCUGUUACCUUGAGAAGACCUUCCUGCAUCUUCCCUGUCCUUCCCCAGCAGGUGACGCCCUGCUUUGGGCUCUCUGCCUCAAAGGGCAGCCACGUGGCAGUGCCUCGCCCUUUAGCUUUGAGUUCAGCUCAGCACAGCGUGUGCAUGGGACACUGAGGGGCAAAUAAUAGGCCUGAACAUAAAGAUUAAAUCCUGAAAUUGUGAAAUUGUUUCUGGGAGGGAAAGACUCUCUGUUCCAACUGAGUUCAUUGAACCUGUCAUCUCAGUAUUGCAUGCCAAGUGCUAGGCAGAGCUGAGCUGCUGAAUACUGAGCCAUAAAAAGAGGCAUUCGGCUACUAUCUGUAAACCAGGAGCAGCAGAGGAGGGAAGAACUGUUUCUGUACAUGUAGCUGAGCCAACGUGGGAUGAGUUUUACUGUGAGAGUCAGUCCUAGCGUUCUGCUGGCUUCACCUUGUGAUGGUUUUGGAAUUCAUAGAACCAUAGGGGAAUGGGGCUGGAAGGGAUCUCCAGAGGUCACAUCUAAUCCAACCCCCUGCCUGAGGCAGGAUCAGCCCUGUCCAAACCAUCAUGUACAAAUCCA